GACUUUAGAAAUCGUGAGGGUUCAAGUCCCUCUAUCCCCAAAAA
RNAcentral lists this transfer RNA (44 nucleotides) under Valeriana supina. RNAcentral's name for it is "partial tRNA-Leu". Lineage: Eukaryota; Viridiplantae; Streptophyta; Magnoliopsida; Dipsacales; Caprifoliaceae. The record is from RNAcentral.